ACAGCAGCAGCCGCGGGAAUACAGAGGAUGCAAGCGUUAUCCGGAAUGAUUGGGCGUAAAGCGUCUGUAGGUGGCUUUUCAAGUCCGCCGUCAAAUCCCAGGGCUCAGCCCUGGACAGGCGGUGGAAACUACCAAGCUGGAGUAUGGUAGGGGCAGAGGGAAUUUCCGGUGGAGCGGUGAAAUGCGUCGAGAUCGGAAAGAACACCAACGGCGAAAGCACUCUGCUGGGCCGACACUGACACUGAGAGACGAAAGCCAGGGGAGCAAAUGGGAUUAGAUACCCCAGUAGUCCCUGUCUCUUAUAC
RNAcentral lists this ribosomal RNA (305 nucleotides) under uncultured bacterium. RNAcentral's name for it is "partial 16S ribosomal RNA". It matches the Rfam family "Bacterial small subunit ribosomal RNA", at positions 505 to 807 of the family's 1533-position model. The record is from RNAcentral.